Molecule: ribosomal RNA, 253 nt
Filed under: uncultured bacterium
Lineage: Bacteria
Description: partial 16S ribosomal RNA
Rfam family: Bacterial small subunit ribosomal RNA
Source: RNAcentral
UACGUAGGGGGCAAGCGUUAUCCGGAUUUACUGGGUGUAAAGGGAGCGUAGACGGUUAUGCAAGUCUGAAGUGAAAGCCCAAGGCUCAACCAUGGGACUGCUUUGGAAACUGUAAAACUGGAGUGCAGGAGAGGUAAGCGGAAUUCCCAGUGUAGCGGUGAAAUGCGUAGAUAUUAGGAGGAACACCAGUGGCGAAGGCGGCUUACUGGACUGUAACUGACGUUGAGGCUCGAAGGCGUGGGGAGCAAACAGG